Molecule: ribosomal RNA, 388 nt
Filed under: Bacteroidetes bacterium RtS02s
Lineage: Bacteria; Pseudomonadati; Bacteroidota
Description: bacterial SSU rRNA
Rfam family: Bacterial small subunit ribosomal RNA
Source: RNAcentral
CUUGCUUUCGCUGACGACCGGCGCACGGGUGCGUAACGCGUAUACAAUCUGCCUCUUACUGGAGUAUACCCCAGAGAAAUUUGGAAUAAUCCUCCAUAAUAUUGUUUUCAGGCAUCUUUAGACAAUUAAAGCUUCGGCGGUAAGAGAUGAGUAUGCGUCCUAUUAGCUAGAUGGUAAGGUAACGGCUUACCAUGGCAACGAUAGGUAGGGGUCCUGAGAGGGAGAUCCCCCACACUGGUACUGAGACACGGACCAGACUCCUACGGGAGGCAGCAGUGAGGAAUAUUGGGCAAUGGACGGAAGUCUGACCCAGCCAUGCCGCGUGCAGGAUGACUGCCCUAUGGGUUGUAAACUGCUUUUAUACAGGAAGAAACCAUUCCUCGUGAGG